Melitaea cinxia (Glanville fritillary) is the source of this 343-nucleotide long non-coding RNA. RefSeq lists it as uncharacterized. The record is from RefSeq and is a predicted model, not a curated record. Lineage: Eukaryota; Metazoa; Arthropoda; Insecta; Lepidoptera; Nymphalidae. The transcript is spliced from 2 exons.
UCAACGCCUAAGUGCCUGCUAACUGCUUCACACGUGUGGCGCGUCUUUAUCUUUGGCCGUCUGCCGUGCUCGGAUUACUUGGCAAACAUACCAGCCUUGGAAAAAUUAUGUUGUUAUUCUUAAGUCAUGAAAGAUGAGUAGCCCUAGUGUAGCGUAGUGUUAACCCUUUCUGGAGUACUUGUAAGCAGGUGAAGGGUUGCAGGAGGAUCGGAGUCGCGCAUCCGUUAGCAUGAAUUAAGUUAUCUGCAUCGGAUUAAUUGAGAUAUUGCUCACUUCUACGAAGCAACUACAGGAUGUUCCAGUUUUAAACUUAGUAAUAAUAUAAAAUUGAUUUUUAACGAGA